Molecule: long non-coding RNA, 926 nt
Filed under: Marmota monax (woodchuck)
Lineage: Eukaryota; Metazoa; Chordata; Mammalia; Rodentia; Sciuridae
Source: RNAcentral
CCUUAGCAUUGAAGGUGAGUGGCCUGUUUCAGCUGGUAGAACAACAAAAGAAACGUCACAGCACCUCGGCUGCGUUUCUGAGGACUCGGGGAGGCUGCCUUCCACGAAGCCCACUCAUUCUCAGGGUUACCUGAAGGCUGCAGGUCAUGGAGAAGGAACUGUCAGUGCCACUAAAGACACUGUUCAAAAGGACAAAAAGCUUAAAAAGUCUCACUUGCUCAGGGAUUGUCAGUGCACCUGAUUGUUGUUUUCCUUUCUUCUCCUGUUUUCUCCUUUACUAUACCCAAGGCCCCACCGAGGAAUGACUGGGAAGAAAAUUCAAGUCUUCUCUUAGUUGCUGCAUCACAUCUUAUUCUUGGAUUUCAGAAUCAUGUGUCACUGGUAUAAAUGAGGGUCCGUUCUAAGUGGGCCCAAGUCUCUUAUUUGGAAACUACUAGGGGAAAUAGGAAGAUUUUUUUCUUUUUUGGUACUGGGAAUUGAACCCAGGGGUGUUUAACCACUGAGCCACAUUUCCAGCAGUCUUUUUUUUUUUAAGUUUUUUUUGAUUUAGAAACAGGGUCUCACUAAGUUGCUUAGGGCCUUACUAAGUUGCAGAGACUGGCUUUGAACAUUCGAUCCUCCUGCCUCCGCCUCCUGAGUGGCUGGGAUUAUAGGAAUGUGUGGGAAGCCGUUCUCGCACGUGAUUUGAGCUACCUCCCUGGCUGGGUGUGAGGCACUUAGUCAAGCUGUGUCAGAGCCUUCCCCACCCUUCCCCAGGUGCGAGGGCUUGUCCGUGUGGGGGUGUGACUGACCACUGACCUGAAAACCAAUCACUGACCCUGACCUUGGAAUGCUGUCCCCCUCGACCUUCAUUGGAUGGAAUUUUCCCCUGAAUUUUUUGUUCCCCAAUAAAAGCUCACUCCUUGGCGUGCUUCUCUCUCUCUUGC